This 258-nucleotide ribosomal RNA is filed under the name Planctomycetota bacterium. Its description in RNAcentral is "Planctomycetes bacterium partial 16S ribosomal RNA". It matches the Rfam family "Bacterial small subunit ribosomal RNA", at positions 1286 to 1533 of the family's 1533-position model. The record is from RNAcentral. Lineage: Bacteria; Pseudomonadati; Planctomycetota.
UCUCAGUUCGGAUUGCAGUCUGCAACUCGACUGCAUGAAGUCGGAAUCGCUAGUAAUCGCGGAUCAGCACGCCGCGGUGAAUACGUUCCCGGGCCUUGUGCACACCGCCGGCCACGCCCUGGAAGUCGGCAGUGCCCGAAGUCGCCGACCUAACCCCUUCCGGGGAAGGAGGCGCCGAAGGUAAGGCCGAUGACUGGGGCGAAGUCGUAACAAGGUAGCCGUACCGGAAGGUGCGGCUGGAUCACCUCCUUUCUAAGG